This 2900-nucleotide ribosomal RNA is filed under the name Streptococcus pneumoniae. RNAcentral describes it as "bacterial LSU rRNA". It matches the Rfam family "Bacterial large subunit ribosomal RNA". Lineage: Bacteria; Bacillati; Bacillota; Bacilli; Lactobacillales; Streptococcaceae. RNAcentral also lists the same sequence under 1 other name. The record is from RNAcentral.
UUAAGUUAAUAAGGGCGCACGGUGGAUGCCUUGGCACUAGGAGCCGACGAAGGACGUGACAAACGACGAUAUGCCUUGGGUAGCUGUAAGUAAGCGAUGAUCCAGGGAUUUCCGAAUGGGGGAACCCAACAGGUAAUACCUGUUACCUACAUCUGUUAAGGAUGUGAGGAGGAAGACGCAGUGAACUGAAACAUCUAAGUAGCUGCAGGAAGAGAAAGCAAAAGCGAUUGCCUUAGUAGCGGCGAGCGAAACGGCAGAAGGGCAAACCGAAGAGUUUACUCUUCGGGGUUGUAGGACUGCAAUGUGGACUCAAAGAUUAUAGAAGAAUGAUUUGGGAAGAUCAGCCAAAGAGAGUAAUAGCCUCGUAUUUAAAAUAGUCUUUGUACUUAGCAGUAUCCUGAGUACGGCGGGACACGUGAAAUCCCGUCGGAAUCUGGGAGGACCAUCUCCCAACCCUAAAUACUCCCUAGUGACCGAUAGUGAACCAGUACCGUGAGGGAAAGGUGAAAAGCACCCCGGGAGGGGAGUGAAAUAGAACCUGAAACCGUGUGCCUACAACAAGUUCGAGCCCGUUAAUGGGUGAGAGCGUGCCUUUUGUAGAAUGAACCGGCGAGUUACGUUAUGAUGCGAGGUUAAGUUGAAGAGACGGAGCCGUAGGGAAACCGAGUCUGAAUAGGGCGCCUUAGUAUCAUGACGUAGACCCGAAACCAUGUGACCUACCCAUGAGCAGGUUGAAGGUGCGGUAAGACGCACUGGAGGACCGAACCAGGGCACGUUGAAAAGUGCUUGGAUGACUUGUGGGUAGCGGAGAAAUUCCAAACGAACUUGGAGAUAGCUGGUUCUCUCCGAAAUAGCUUUAGGGCUAGCGUCGACAUUAGAGAUUCUUGGAGGUAGAGCACUGUUUGGGUGAGGGGUCCAUCCCGGAUUACCAAUCUCAGAUAAACUCCGAAUGCCAAUGAAUUAUGGUCGGCAGUCAGACUGCGAGUGCUAAGAUCCGUAGUCGAAAGGGAAACAGCCCAGACCACCAGCUAAGGUCCCAAAAUAAUUGUUAAGUGGAAAAGGAUGUGGGGUUGCACAGACAACUAGGAUGUUAGCUUAGAAGCAGCUAUUCAUUCAAAGAGUGCGUAAUAGCUCACUAGUCGAGUGACCCUGCGCCGAAAAUGUACCGGGGCUAAAACAAUUUACCGAAGCUGUGGAUACCUUUAUAGGUAUGGUAGGAGAGCGUUCUAUGUGUGAUGAAGGUAUACCGUGAGGAGUGCUGGAACGCAUAGAAGUGAGAAUGCCGGUAUGAGUAGCGAAAGACAGGUGAGAAUCCUGUCCACCGUAAGACUAAGGUUUCCAGGGGAAGGCUCGUCCGCCCUGGGUUAGUCGGGACCUAAGGAGAGACCGAAAGGUGUAUCCGAUGGACAACAGGUUGAUAUUCCUGUACUAGAGUAUGUAGUGAUGGAGGGACGCAGUAGGCUAACUAAAGCAGACGAUUGGAAGAGUCUGUCUAAGCAGUGAGGUGUGAAUUGAGUCAAAUGCUUAAUUCUAUAACAUUGAGCUGUGAUGGGGAGCGAAGUUUAGUAGCGAAGUUAGUGACGUCACACUGCCAAGAAAAGCUUCUAGCGUUUAAACAUACUCUACCCGUACCGCAAACCGACACAGGUAGUCGAGGCGAGUAGCCUCAGGUGAGCGAGAGAACUCUCGUUAAGGAACUCGGCAAAAUGACCCCGUAACUUCGGGAGAAGGGGUGCUGACUUAAAGUCAGCCGCAGUGAAUAGGCCCAAGCAACUGUUUAUCAAAAACACAGCUCUCUGCUAAAUCGUAAGAUGAUGUAUAGGGGGUGACGCCUGCCCGGUGCUGGAAGGUUAAGAGGAGUGCUUAGCGUAAGCGAAGGUAUGAAUUGAAGCCCCAGUAAACGGCGGCCGUAACUAUAACGGUCCUAAGGUAGCGAAAUUCCUUGUCGGGUAAGUUCCGACCCGCACGAAAGGCGUAAUGAUUUGGGCACUGUCUCAACGAGAGACUCGGUGAAAUUUUAGUACCUGUGAAGAUGCAGGUUACCCGCGACAGGACGGAAAGACCCCAUGGAGCUUUACUGCAGUUUGAUAUUGAGUGUCUGUACCACAUGUACAGGAUAGGUAGGAGUCUAAGAAAUCGGGACGCCAGUUUCGAAGGAGACGCUGUUGGGAUACUACCCUUGUGUUAUGGCCACUCUAACCCAGAUAGGUGAUCCCUAUCGGAGACAGUGUCUGACGGGCAGUUUGACUGGGGCGGUCGCCUCCUAAAAGGUAACGGAGGCGCCCAAAGGUUCCCUCAGAAUGGUUGGAAAUCAUUCGCAGAGUGUAAAGGUAUAAGGGAGCUUGACUGCGAGAGCUACAACUCGAGCAGGGACGAAAGUCGGGCUUAGUGAUCCGGUGGUUCCGUAUGGAAGGGCCAUCGCUCAACGGAUAAAAGCUACCCUGGGGAUAACAGGCUUAUCUCCCCCAAGAGUUCACAUCGACGGGGAGGUUUGGCACCUCGAUGUCGGCUCGUCGCAUCCUGGGGCUGUAGUCGGUCCCAAGGGUUGGGCUGUUCGCCCAUUAAAGCGGCACGCGAGCUGGGUUCAGAACGUCGUGAGACAGUUCGGUCCCUAUCCGUCGCGGGCGUAGGAAAUUUGAGAGGAUCUGCUCCUAGUACGAGAGGACCAGAGUGGACUUACCGCUGGUGUACCAGUUGUCUUGCCAAAGGCAUCGCUGGGUAGCUAUGUAGGGAAGGGAUAAACGCUGAAAGCAUCUAAGUGUGAAACCCACCUCAAGAUGAGAUUUCCCAUGAUUAUAUAUCAGUAAGAGCCCUGAGAGAUGAUCAGGUAGAUAGGUUAGAAGUGGAAGUGUGGCGACACAUGUAGCGGACUAAUACUAAUAGCUCGAGGACUUAUCCAA